GGUGGCUCUAAAGGUCGUGAGUUAUCUCGAUUAUUGUUCACCAUCAGAGCGCCUUGUUCAACACUCUUUCUCUACUUCUCUCUACUGUACUUGAGUGGUCUUAA
This 104-nucleotide non-coding RNA is filed under the name Otolemur garnettii (small-eared galago). The record is from RNAcentral. Lineage: Eukaryota; Metazoa; Chordata; Mammalia; Primates; Galagidae.